This 254-nucleotide ribosomal RNA is filed under the name uncultured bacterium. Its description in RNAcentral is "partial 16S ribosomal RNA". It matches the Rfam family "Bacterial small subunit ribosomal RNA", at positions 524 to 776 of the family's 1533-position model. The record is from RNAcentral.
UACGUAGGGUGCGAGCGUUGUUCGGAUUUACUGGGCGUAAAGGGCGCGUAGGCGGUCAGCACAAGUCAAUUGUGAAAUCUCCGAGCUUAACUCGGAAAGGUCAACUGAAACUGUGCGACUAGAGUGCGGAAGGGGCAACUGGAAUUCUUGGUGUAGCGGUGAAAUGCGUAGAUAUCAAGAGGAACACCUGCGGCGAAGGCGGGUUGCUGGGCCGACACUGACGCUGAAGCGCGAAAGCCAGGGGAGCGAACGGG